RNAcentral lists this ribosomal RNA (396 nucleotides) under Triticum aestivum (bread wheat). Its description in RNAcentral is "partial small subunit ribosomal RNA". The record is from RNAcentral. Lineage: Eukaryota; Viridiplantae; Streptophyta; Magnoliopsida; Poales; Poaceae.
AUGCAGGACAAAGUCCACUACAAAAGUGGCAUCGUACCAUGGACAGGAGGCUCGCACCGGUUUAAAUGUCGUGGCGAACUCUCGCACCUACAUCGACUACCGCUGUCGUGCCCGAAUUGUCAGCCCGCACUGAUUUACAAAUGCCGCGGCCGACUCUCCCAUCCGCACCGGCUUACAGCACCGCGACCGACUCAUCUGUUUAUGCCGCCUCUGAAGUCGCGGUCGCUUUCGUCGUCCGUCUAUCGCAGCCUGGUCUACAUCAACAUACAGGGCCGCAUAUGUCUGCAUGAGCUGUUUAUUGAGUACGAACAAGUCGCAGCUUGGGUAGCCCGGAUUUCUUUCAACAAACUGGAGGCAAAUUAUCAUAUACUAUCAGUCGCCGUCUGCACUAGAUAG